Long non-coding RNA from Epinephelus lanceolatus (giant grouper), 947 nucleotides. RefSeq lists it as uncharacterized. NCBI's taxonomy places the organism in Eukaryota, Metazoa, Chordata, Actinopteri, Perciformes, Serranidae. The record is from RefSeq and is a predicted model, not a curated record.
CUGUGCUCUGUCUCCACGGCGGAGUACUUCACGAAAGGAGCAGUUGGUAGCACAGCUUUCGCAUCAAAAUAGGGAUGGGCUGACAUUACAGAUGGUGUCUUGUAGCCAUGCAGACAGUCCCAGGUCAGCAUCUGAAGCAGUUCCUGGAUGAAGUGGGACCUUUUCCCGGAAACACCUUCUCUGGUGUAAAACUCAACAGGAAACAAGUGGAUGAUGAUGACUUCCAAAAAGUGAAAGAUAAACUAAUCAAUGGCUUCUGUGACAACCUCACCACACAGUUUGGCAACCCUGAAGGCCGCUGCUGCCAUGUUUGACCUAAGCAACUGGCCUGAAGACAUCACUGACCUGGCCACCUUUGGCCUGGCCGAUGUUGAGACUUUUGUCACUCACUUUCAGAAAACUGAUGGGUUACAGGGAGCUGUGUGGAACACUGUAUUCCCGAAAAAGCCAAAUUAACUCAGAUCUGUCAUUUUUUAGAACUCAGCUAUUAGGGUUUCCAAUGCUUUUUUCCUGUUUUUGACAACAGUGGUUGAAUUAAAAAUCAAUAUGAAAAGGAAACAUGUCCUUAUGUUGUGUUUUCACCACCACUGGUAGGCUGAAUUCUCAUCACGAGUGAAUAAAGCAGCUAACUCUGAAUCAAUCUACUCAAAUUUUUUAAGUUCAAAUAACUCAUGUUUUUCUUAGUAUGCCAUUUUGAGGAAAUGAGAUUCCCAUGAUCCUUUGCUAAAGAAAAUAAUAACAUACAAGAGUGAAAAGAAAGCAUCAGAAUUCUUUAAUGUUGAAAUAAUGAUUGAUAUCUGGAUGUUGCAAUAGGUGCAUAAUUAAUAGACUAGAUUGUGACUAUGUGUGGCCGUGCUAAUGUUGUACUGUGAGGGGACAGCAGUUAACAUUGACUGUCUGUUAACUUAUUUUGUUUGUUUGUUUAUUUGUUGUUGUUUUUUGUUAUU